GGUCCCGCCUGCCCUGUGACCAAAGUGUUUAACGGCCGCGGUAUCCUGACCGUGCGAAGGUAGCGUAAUCAUUUGUCUUUUAAAUGAAGACCAGUAUGAAUGGCAUCACGAGGGUUUAACUGUCUCCUUCCCCCAGUCAAUGAAAUUGAUCUGCCCGUGCAGAAGCGGACAUAAAAACAUAAGACGAGAAGACCCUAUGGAGCUUUAGGCGAAAGUCAAACAUGUACAAGGACCCGAAACAUUAACAAAUAACAUAAAGGCCUAACCUAACCAAAUGUAAAAUGACUUAUAUGCCUUCGGUUGGGGCGACCAUGGAGGAAAAUAAAGCCUCCACAUGGAAUGGGGACAUCCCCUAAACCAAGAAAGACAAUUCUAAGUAACAGAACAUCUGACCAAAAAUGACCCAGGACCUAAUCCUGAUCAAUGAACCAAGUUACCCUAGGGAUAACAGCGCAAUCCUUUCCCAGAGUCCAUAUCGACGAAAGGGUUUACGACCUCGAUGUUGGAUCAGGACAUCCUAAUAGUGCAGCCGCUAUUAAGGGUUCGUUUGUUCAACGAUUAACAGUCCUACGUGAUCUGAGUUCAGACCGGG
This 592-nucleotide ribosomal RNA is filed under the name Synaphobranchidae environmental sample. RNAcentral describes it as "partial 16S ribosomal RNA". It matches the Rfam family "Bacterial large subunit ribosomal RNA", at positions 1851 to 2620 of the family's 2925-position model. The record is from RNAcentral. Lineage: Eukaryota; Metazoa; Chordata; Actinopteri; Anguilliformes; Synaphobranchidae.